GCUUAAUAUGAUUUAUCCUCUGCAGUGAGAGAGCAAAGGAUCUAUAUCAAAUCCUGAAUUAACUUGGGAUUUUUCAGGAAAAUGUAAUGUUAUGGACUACUAAAGCUGGUGAGCGCAAGAAGCAGGUACAAGCAUGCUAUAAAGCCACAAGAGAACACAUCUUGAAGGAGGAGUUCAGAGUGCUGAGGCACCUGAGAGGAAUGCUACCAGCAUCAGCUCUCCCUGGGACAAAUUCCACUUAAAG
RNAcentral lists this long non-coding RNA (244 nucleotides) under Zalophus californianus (California sea lion). RNAcentral's name for it is "lncRNA (ENSZCAG00015008507.1)". The record is from RNAcentral. Lineage: Eukaryota; Metazoa; Chordata; Mammalia; Carnivora; Otariidae.